Molecule: microRNA precursor, 61 nt
Filed under: Caenorhabditis brenneri
Lineage: Eukaryota; Metazoa; Nematoda; Chromadorea; Rhabditida; Rhabditidae
Description: microRNA cbn-mir-35g precursor
Gene: cbn-mir-35g
Rfam family: mir-35_2 microRNA precursor family
Source: miRBase by way of RNAcentral
AGCUGGUUUCUCCUCUGGUGAUAAAUCCAGCAGUGCUUAUCACCGGGAGUAAAUCUGCUCG